CCCUUAGAUGUCCUGGGCCGCACGCGCGCUACACUGAGUGUCUGAGAUACGAGUCUGCCUGGUCCGGCAAGGUCUAGGUAAUCGCUAAAAGACACAUCAUGCUUGGGAUAGAUUAUUGCAAAUAUUAAUCUUGAACGAGGAAUUCCUAGUAAGCGCAAGUCAACAGCUUGCGUUGAUUACGUCCCUGCCCUUUGUACACACCGCCCGUCGCUACUACUGAUUGGAUGUUUAAGCGAGGUUCUCGAACUGCUAGCGACUUAGCUUCGGUGAGGUCGCAGUGUGGGAAGUGAACCUAGCUUUGGUGUCCAGAGGAAGUAAAAGUCGUAACA
Molecule: ribosomal RNA, 329 nt
Filed under: uncultured eukaryote
Lineage: Eukaryota
Description: partial 18S ribosomal RNA
Rfam family: Eukaryotic small subunit ribosomal RNA
Source: RNAcentral